UUGAAAUUUUAUUAGGUUAAUAAUUAUGAAUAUAGAGUUGCAUUCACGUCGCUUUCAGCAAACGCUAAUCACCAUGUGAAUAUUUUUAGUGAAUAAAAAAAAGAAAAAAGAAAAAAGAGUAGAAUUCGCGGAGACAUCAUCAAUGGAGCCACCCAUCCUCCUUUCAAUUCCGGCAUUCGGCGUCGCCUCCUCUUUCUCCUCACUCCGCCGCUCCUACGUCUGCUACAACUGCAAUUACCCCUUCCAUAUUUCCCCUACAGCCGCCGCGAUCGCAGAGUCAGACACAUCAUCAUCCUCCGCCCUCCCCUCUUCCUUCCGCUGCCCUCGCUGCCACCUCCGCCACCUCAUCUCGCACCACACAAUCUGCGCAGCGCCUCAUCCUCCCCCUCCCGCCCGCCCUACGCGGCGGCGCAAGGACGAUCCUCCUCCUGCUAUCAUCAGUAGCGCUACUUCAGCAGCUCCGUCGACGCAGCCGUGCUCAAUUUGCCUGGAGGAUUUCGAUAUUAGCUCCGAUGCAGCUAGCGUGACGCCGUGCAAGCAUUAUUUUCACAAAAAUUGUCUCGCGCCAUGGCUCCGGAGGAAGAAGAAUUGCCCAAUGUGCCGCCGCGAAUUGCCAUACAAAAUUAGAAGGUUUCGGAGAUGGGCAUCAGUGAUCGCGCGCGAUGCGGACGGAGAUACCUUGAUGAGAGACGCGUGAGCUCUUUUGAUAACUGUAAAAGCAGUCUUGUGCAAAUAUAUUGGAGCUGUUCUUCUAGAGCUUGCUGUCAUGGUCGGGGACAGCAUCUUUUGUACAGAGUUUGUCUUUUUACUUUUUAGUUAAUCUUUUGCAAAGUUAGUGCUGGAGCAGGGAUGGAAUGGACCAACAGGUAGAAAGGCAAGAGGUUUUCUUAGAAGAAAUUUAGAAAAUUAAAAGGAAUAAUUCCUAUAGAAUUUUUGGUGUCUCCUAUCAUUUAGUGAGGGGAUGGAUAUGGUUUCGUUUCAUUUCACAAACAGGGUUAGAAAAGGAGUUGGUAGAAUGGGAUGGAAUAAAUAGUAUUUUGUAUUUAAGUUUCAUUCUUAUAUUUAUUAAUAAAUGAAAUUUUGAUUGGAGGAACACAGAGCAUUCUUUCCAUUGCAAUGUUAGGAAUUAACUUUUACAUGUAUGGCAAAAGUAAGUGAGAUUUUUGUUCAAUCUAUUGAAAAAAUGAUGAAAACUAUGAAAAAUAAAAUUCUGAUAGUAUAAGUUUUGAGGAAAUUACAAUCUUACGGGCAAUACAUCUUCCCCUGGUUGCCUGCUAUGGAGGUAAGUACUUCUUUUACCCUACAAAAAUGAUAUAUAGUCACAUAGGAUAAUCUUGUUGAUUUUUAUUUCCAAUGCUUACUGCCUGUAUUUCUGUUAUGUAUAGCAUGUUUGCAACAGUUCUAAGCGUAUAACACAGCAUCUUAUUCAUAUAUCAAUACUAAAAUUCUUCAGAUAAUUAUUUUUAUUUUGAUUCCUCAUGUUGGUAUAAAUUCUGUUAUUGGUGUCCAUUUUCGCAAUAUCAACAUAGCUGACCCUGAAUUCAUAGCACCUUGGUAUGGCGCUAGAAAUUGAAGAAGAUGUAAAGAUUAUUGUAUUUUCUUUCAGUAUGCUGCAAGACUCAACAACCUUGUUGAGGUUUUGAUGUUCAUUAGUUCGGUAUUACAUAAAACUUUUGUCCUAUACUAUUGUAUUUUGUGGUUGCUCAUUAUCUUGGCUAUGUAAUGACAGUGGUAGUAUAUGAGGACAUCAAAACUGAUGAAAACUAUGAAAAGUAAAAUUUUGGUAUAAGUUUUGAGAAAAUUACAAUCUUACUGUCAGUAGAUCUUCUCCUAGUUGCCUGCUAUGUUGGAGGUAAGUUCUUUUACCCUACAAUAAUGAUAUAAAGUCACAUAGGAAAAUCUUUAUGAUUUCUAUUUCCAAUGCUUACUGCCUGUUUCUGUGUUAUGUGUAGCAUGUUUACAACAGUUCUAAGCAUAUAUCAGAGCAUCUUAUUCUUAUAUCAAGACUGUAAUCCUUAAGAUCAUUAUUUUAUUUAGAUUCCUCAUGUUGAUUUCUGCUAUUGGCAUUCCGUGUUCGUUUGCCCAAUCCCCAAUAUCAGCAUAGCUUAUCCAUGGAUUCAUAGUAUCUUGGCACGGCGCUAGACAUGGAAGAAGAUGUAAAGAUUAUUGUGUUUUCUUUCAGUGUGUCUUCCUUCCUCUUUCUGGAAGUGAGUCCGAUUUGAGCAUGCAAAGCAGUGUUCAACAACCUUGUUGAAGUUUUGAUCUUCACCAGUUCAGUAUCACAUAAACUUUUGUCCUAUACCAUUGAUGUCUGUGUUGGCUCAUUAUCUUAGACUUAGCUACUAUGUAAUGACAACAGCGGUAUUAUAUGAAUACAUCAAAAACCAGUACUGCCAUAGUAACUGAUGUUUCCCUGUGGCUUUGUUUA
Molecule: non-coding RNA, 2428 nt
Organism: Salvia hispanica
Lineage: Eukaryota; Viridiplantae; Streptophyta; Magnoliopsida; Lamiales; Lamiaceae
Source: RefSeq, a predicted model, not a curated record